UCAUCAACUCCAACACUCCUCCUUAUUGAGACUUUUGUUGGAGUUGUAAAUUUAGUCAAGUCUUCAAGAAUCUUCAAUUUUCUAAUUUGUUUGGUUGUCUUGGAGCACUUCUCUCCAAGUUUGAUGAUGUUGUUUUGCUUUGAUGAAGCACUUCUCUGCAUGUUUAUUGUUGGUGGAGUACAUCUCUCCAACUCUUUCAUUUGCUUUGAUUUUCUGGUGCACUUCUCACCAUUU
This 234-nucleotide unclassified non-coding RNA is filed under the name Hevea brasiliensis (rubber tree). Lineage: Eukaryota; Viridiplantae; Streptophyta; Magnoliopsida; Malpighiales; Euphorbiaceae. The record is from RNAcentral.